UAGAAUGCAAGUCGAACGGGAAUUUUUUUGGUAGCAAUACCGAAAAAAUUUCAGUGGCGAACGGGUGCGUAACACGUGGGCAAUCUGCCGAGAAGUGGGGGAUAGCUCGCCGAAAGGCGAAUUAAUACCGCAUGUGAUGAGGGGAGACAUCUUCCCGAAAUCAAAGGUGGCGCAAGCUACCGCUUUUUGAGGAGCCCGCGGCCUAUCAGCUUGUUGGUGAGGUAACGGCUCACCAAGGCGUUGACGGGUAGCUGGUCUGAGAGGACGACCAGUCACACUGGGACUGAGACACGGCCCAGACACCUACGGGUGGCAGCAGUCGAGAAUUUUUCUCAAUGGGGGAAACCCUGAAGGAGCGACGCCGCGUGGAGGAUGAAGGUCUUCGGGUUGUAAACUCCUGUCAUUUGGGAACAAGGCGCAGGUAUUAACUGUACCUGCGUUGAUAGUACCAGAAGAGGAAGAGACGGCUAACUCUGUGCCAGCAGCCGCGGUAAUACAGAGGUCUCAAGCGUUGUUCGGAUUCAUUGGGCGUAAAGGGUGCGUAGGUGGCGCGGUAAGUCGGGUGUGAAAUUUCGGAGCUUAACUCCGAAACUGCAUUCGAUACUGCCGUGCUUGAGGACUGGAGAGGAGACUGGAAUUUACGGUGUAGCAGUGAAAUGCGUAGAGAUCGUAAGGAAGACCAGUGGCGAAGGCGGGUCUCUGGACAGUUCCUGACACUGAGGCACGAAGGCCAGGGGAGCAAACGGGAUUAGAUACCCCGGUAGUCCUGGCAGUAAACGGUGCACGUUU
Molecule: ribosomal RNA, 789 nt
Filed under: uncultured Verrucomicrobiae bacterium
Lineage: Bacteria; Pseudomonadati; Verrucomicrobiota; Verrucomicrobiia
Description: bacterial SSU rRNA
Rfam family: Bacterial small subunit ribosomal RNA
Source: RNAcentral